GCUCAGGACGAACGCUGGCGGCGUGCUUAACACAUGCAAGUCGAACGAAGCACUUUGAUCGAUUUCUUCGGAUUGAAAUUUUAGUGACUGAGUGGCGGACGGGUGAGUAACGCGUGGGUAACCUGCCUCACACAGGGGGAUAACAGUUGGAAACGGCUGCUAAUACCGCAUAAGCGCACAGUACCGCAUGGUACAGUGUGAAAAACUCCGGUGGUGUGAGAUGGACCCGCGUCUGAUUAGCUAGUUGGCAGGGCAACGGCCUACCAAGGUGACGAUCAGUAGCCGACCUGAGAGGGUGACCGGCCACAUUGGGACUGAGACACGGCCCAAACUCCUACGGGAGGCAGCAGUA
This 352-nucleotide ribosomal RNA is filed under the name uncultured bacterium. RNAcentral's name for it is "bacterial SSU rRNA". It matches the Rfam family "Bacterial small subunit ribosomal RNA", at positions 22 to 356 of the family's 1533-position model. The record is from RNAcentral.